RNAcentral lists this ribosomal RNA (458 nucleotides) under Staphylococcus aureus. RNAcentral's name for it is "partial 23S ribosomal RNA". It matches the Rfam family "Bacterial large subunit ribosomal RNA", at positions 905 to 1367 of the family's 2925-position model. The record is from RNAcentral. Lineage: Bacteria; Bacillati; Bacillota; Bacilli; Caryophanales; Staphylococcaceae.
GAGCACUGUUUGGACGAGGGGCCCCUCUCGGGUUACCGAAUUCAGACAAACUCCGAAUGCCAAUUAAUUUAACUUGGGAGUCAGAACAUGGGUGAUAAGGUCCGUGUUCGAAAGGGAAACAGCCCAGACCACCAGCUAAGGUCCCAAAAUAUAUGUUAAGUGGAAAAGGAUGUGGCGUUGCCCAGACAACUAGGAUGUUGGCUUAGAAGCAGCCAUCAUUUAAAGAGUGCGUAAUAGCUCACUAGUCGAGUGACACUGCGCCGAAAAUGUACCGGGGCUAAACAUAUUACCGAAGCUGUGGAUUGUCCUUUGGACAAUGGUAGGAGAGCGUUCUAAGGGCGUUGAAGCAUGAUCGUAAGGACAUGUGGAGCGCUUAGAAGUGAGAAUGCCGGUGUGAGUAGCGAAAGACGGGUGAGAAUCCCGUCCACCGAUUGACUAAGGUUUCCAGAGGAAGGCUC